This is a long non-coding RNA of Zalophus californianus (California sea lion), 4057 nucleotides long. RefSeq lists it as uncharacterized. The transcript is spliced from 3 exons. The record is from RefSeq and is a predicted model, not a curated record. NCBI's taxonomy places the organism in Eukaryota, Metazoa, Chordata, Mammalia, Carnivora, Otariidae.
GUGUCCGUCUCCGCCGGCCCCCUUUUGGAGAAGAGAAAUGUCGCGAAGGUUACAAAGUCGGUAAGCUGUAGCAGUUAGAUCUGAGCUCGGUUCGUCUAACCCUACUCAAAGAUAAUUUUCAGGAGGAGGUGAAAUCCUAAUUCUCAGUCGGAGACUUUGAACUUUGUGAGGCCCCAAGCUUCCAUAAACCCCAAGCGUGGGGUGAUGACUAAGGCUCUGGAAUAUGAGCUAGAGCAGGAGACAGCGGUCCACGGGGAGGACAGAGAGUGCAAAGCCCUGGGAGGUUGGCCAGGAGAAGGGGGAGCAGGGCCACGAAGCUCACUCCAGCUGUGAUCAGAUACAAACACAGGAGUUGCUAACAGUAAUCCCGCGCGCAUUUCCAGACUCAACAGUCAGCCCCUAAGGAGCUGGUCCAAAGGGGCUCUCACAUUGACGCUCUUCCCCGCACGGGGGACGUCUGCGUCACCGCACGCCGCUCUCGGCACUGGUAUUGGCUAACUUCCGGAUCUUUGGCUCACCUGAUGGGCGCACGUAAUUGGCUGUUUUAAUGUGAGGCUGCACAGCUUUUCUAAUGCUGGCCAGCCAUUUGGAAAUGAAUCCUUCUGCCUGAGACUAUCUUGUUGGAGUCAUUGCCCAUUUCUGCUGGGAUUUUUUCCUUACUGAUGUGGGGGGAGUGUAUCACAUGUCCCACAUACUUACACUUUGCUUUGUAUACAUGUAAACGGAGCAAAUACGUGUGCUGCAUGCCUUUAAAAAAAAAAGAUUUUAUUAAUUUAUUUGAGAGAGAGAGCACAAGCAGGGAGAGAGGAGCAGAGGAGAAGGAGAAGCAGGGUCCCCCCCCUGAGCAGGGAGCCUGAUGUGGGGCCCCAUCCCAGGACCCUGGGAUCAUGACCUGAGCCCAGGGCAGAUGCUUAACCAACUGAGUGACCCGGGUGCCCUAUGUGCUGUGCUUCUUUUGAACUCUUUCAAGGUAUCUCGUAGGAUUGGCAUUUCAGAUCCGAGAUGGUCAAAUUAUUAACAUUGUUUUAUGACUUGGCUGAUUUCUCCUAUUGAGGAGGGCUGUCCCAGCUUUAAGGUCAGGAAGAUGUUCUCCUACAUUUUUAGCUAAUAAUUGUCACAUUUAGUGGUGGGGUGUGUGUAUUUUGCAGAUAUAUGACUUCCAGAUGCCUUUGGAGGUAGGUCUUUAACAUAUCAUCUCCCUUUUUUGUUUUUUGGCCUGUUCAGAUUUUUCUUUCUUCCUGGGCCAGUUUUGCUAAUAAAUGUUUUCCUAGAAAAGUGUCUGUUUCAUUAAGGUUUUCAGAUGUGGGGUAUUAAGUCCUUCCUGAUCAUAGUUUUUAAUCUCUUGGUUAUGCCCUCUCUUUAAUUCCAGUGUUGUUUAUUUGUGUCUUUUUUUUUUCCUUGCCGCUUUUUGCGAAAGGACUGUCUAUUUUAUUAGUCUUUUCAAAACACCGGCACUUAGGUUUGUCCUAUUUUUUGGUUUGUUUUCUGUUUCCCUAACCUCCAGCUUUUAUUUUCUUUCCUUUUAUUGUCUUUGGAUUUAUUCUGUUGUUCUUUUUCCGUUUCAAAAGUGGACAGUUUGGUUCACUUAUUUGUAAAUCCUUCUUGUUUUCAUAUAAAUGCAGCAGGGGAACACAUGUCUCCCCGAGAAUGCCUUACACCGCGUCCCACAGGUUUCCAUAGGCAGCACCGACAUUUCCAUCAAGUUCUAAAUACUUCACAAAUCCUGUUAGCUUCUCUCUGCGCCAUCCAGAACGGCCCUUGAUUUUGCUGCAGCAGAACUCAUCAGUCUUGUCUGUUAUGAUUAGUACUUUUGUGUCUUUUUCAAAAUGUAUUUCCCUACCCCAAAGGCAUGACCAUAUGGAAUGCUCCGUCCGGUUAUUUUCUAGAAGUGCUACUGUUUUGCCUUUGACCUUCAGAUCUGCAGCUGGAUUCACUUUUGUUUAUGACGUGAGGGAGGAGGGCUCAAUUUAUUUUUUAUCAUAUAGAUCUCCAGUCAGUCUGUGGUUUUUGGAAAGACUGCCCUUCAUCCAGUGCUCUGCAGGGCUCCUUUUUGGAAAAUCAGUGUCCAUACAUGCUUGAAUCUGUUUGGGUUCUCUGUGAUGUUGUGAUUUCAUAAUAAGAAAUGUGUAUUUGGGGGACACCUGGGUGGCUCAGUUGGUGAAGUGUCUGCCUUCAGCUCAGGUCAUGAUCUUGGGGUCCUGGGAUCAAGCCCCUGUUGGCCUCCCUGCUCAGUGGGGAACCUGCUUCUCCCUCUGCCCCUCCCCCUCCCCACUCGCUCUCUCUCUUCUCUCAAAUAAAUAAAUAAAAUCUUUAAAAAGAAACGUAUAUUUGGCCUUCAUUUCUGGCACAGUGCUCCUAAACCCUUGGAAUUUCCUAAGUGAUAAGAGCCAAAAAGGUGUCUUUUGUUAAUCAUAAUAAGCCCCUUUCAGCCACACCAGAGUUCAUGUCAGGGAGCCGGGCUUCCCAGACUUUUGGAAAGCCCCUAAGCCUGGGGGCUGGUUUGACCUGGAACCAACCUCAAUGAGAGGGUUGGAACUUUUGGGACCACCCCCACCACCUCCUGGGAGGGGAAGGGGACUGACACUGAAUUCAUCACCACGGGCCAAUGAUUUAAUCAACCAUGCCUAUUCACUGAAGCCUCUGUACAAAUUCUGAGCUCCCGGGUUGGGAGAGCUUCAGGGUUGGUGAGCCCAUGGAGGUGCUGGGAGGGGGCACACCUCCCCCCAGCCCCCCCACCCCACCCCCUCUCCGGAGAGCGCAUGGAACCUUCCCACAUCCUCUGCCCUAUGCAUCUCUUCCAUCUGGCUUUUCCUGACUAUAGACUUUUAUAAUUAUAAAUCUCAUGCCCAUCCAGUCCUGCCUUGGUGUUUGCUUCUUGGAGGGCAAGAACCAACACACCGUCCACAGAUUUAGAUUUUAUAUCAUCUGAAUGAUAUUCUGUAGUGCUCCAUACAAACAUCCUACACGCCUGCUGUUAGAUUUGCCCCAGUAGGUAAAGGACACGGGUAAGUGGCAUCUCUGAUGGGUUAGAUAUGGCUGCAAAUUCUCUUCCCCUCCUCCCGACAAAGGAUGGAGUCUAUUAUCCACUUCUCUGGGCUGACUGGUGGAAUAUGGCCAAAGUAGCUGGGGUGGGACUUGUGAGUCUAGGUCUCGGGAGGUCGUGCAGCUUCUGCCCCUGCCCCUGUGGCCCCCUCUGCUGAGAGCACCGUGCUGUAAAGAAGGGAUGGAGGACAACGUGGAGAGAGAACCCCACGGGCACCAACCGUGCACGUGAGCCCGACGUCGUCCAGCUGCCCCAACCCCACAGCAGACCCGGAGAGGGAGCCCAGCAAGGCCAGCAGAAAGAAGCACCCAGCCACCCUCCAGAGUGAGAGGGUUUCAUGAGAAACAAUGAGUUGUGGGUCUGUUUAAGAUAUUGAGUGUUUUAAGUGGUUUAUUAUGGGACAAAUGAUAACAACUCCAGUGUUUGUUUUCAAAUUUCAUUUUCUGUUUGUUGCUGCUACAGCGGUUUUGUAUAUCGACCCUACAUCUAUCAACUGCUAAUUAACCUGCACAUUCUUUUGGAUUUUCUGUGUAACUCAUCAACUGCGAAUAAUGGCAAUUUUAUUUCCUCCUUUUCUAAAUCCUCACAUCCUGCAUUGACUUUCCCUUCCUUACCCCACCGGCCGAGACUUCCAAAGCAAUGCCAGAUAAGUGUCCUCGCGGAGUCCCGGCCUUGCCCCAGGUCUCCGGAGAGAACUUUCCACGCUUCACCUGGAGUUACGUGUUUGUCGGUUUUUCCGAAGGUGGGCUUUAUUAAGCAAGGGAACUCCUUGCCAAUAGCAGGUUUACCAAGACUCUUCUAUCCUGAAUGGACAUUGGGUCUCAUCAAACACGUUCACUGUAAGUCCCUGUUAAUGUGAUAAAACACAUUGACCUUACGAUGUCAUCCAAGCCUGUCUUCCCACAAUAAACCCACUUUGCUCGUGACAAGUCGUCUUCCCUCCUACUGCGGGCUUCGGGGGCUGACGCAGAUUCUCCCUCCUCUGUUUGAGCGAGGGACCUGCCCGCACUGCCC